CCUACGGGUGGCAGCAGUGAGGAAUAUUGGUCAAUGGCCGGAAGGCUGAACCAGCCAAGCCGCGUGAAGGAAGCAGGUGCCAAGCAUUGUAAACUUCUUUUGUCAAGGGACAAAAUCAGGCUCGAGAGCCUGACCGAGGGUACUUGAAGAAAAAGCAUCGGCUAACUCCGUGCCAGCAGCCGCGGUAAUACGGAGGAUGCGAGCGUUAUCCGGAUUUAUUGGGUUUAAAGGGUGCGUAGGCGGGCUGUUAAGUCAGCGGUAAAAGCCCGGGGCUAAACCCCGGCGAGCCGUUGAAACUGGUUGUCUUGAGAGGUCGUGAGGUAUGCGGAAUGGGCAGUGUAGCGGUGAAAUGCUGAGAGAUUGCGCAGAACUCCGAGUGCGAAGGCAGCAUACCGGCGGAGAUCUGACGCUGAGGCACGAAAGCGUGGGGAUCGAACAGGAUUAGAUACCCCGGUAGUC
RNAcentral lists this ribosomal RNA (459 nucleotides) under uncultured bacterium. RNAcentral describes it as "partial 16S ribosomal RNA". It matches the Rfam family "Bacterial small subunit ribosomal RNA", at positions 338 to 795 of the family's 1533-position model. The record is from RNAcentral.